GGUUCUGAUAGCUUCUCAAGUUACUUUCUUCGCUAGCCGUUAGAUUCAGUUACUGUAACCGUUCCGACAAGUUACUGUCGAGCGUAGUAACUAGCUCACCUAUAAAGCGGCCGGGUUGUGGCUUAGCUGGUAUGAUUUUUCCCCAAUUCGCCUGUUGGCUGAAACCUAAACAGAUACGGCGACGCCGAUAGGUCAACACAACACCCAGAUCGGGAUAUGUUCUUCGUGAAUUAUCUAGGAUUCCUUCUCAUAUACCUCAAAUCAUAGCUAGGUCCUGACAGUCCCCCAGCCGGGUACAUUCACCGGCGCGAGGAAGCGGAAGGCCCCGGCGACGGCGACGGCAAAGGCUGUCGGGAAGCCUCGCAAGACGCAGGUUGAGGAGCCGAUUCAGAUGCCUGUGUACUAUGGAUGUAGAGCACCGUUUUCCCGCGUGCGUGGCAACUAUUUAGAAGACAAAUGUGCUCACUAAUUGGUGAGCUGCCGCUGCAGCCACAGUCCAUGUCAUUGGUGGAUCUACAGCUCUGGAUCUUCAGGCUGUUCCGGCUCCAUCCAGAAACACAAGAUCUCGAUAUCAAGGGGUUCCUCAAGCAACGCAAAACUGAUUUCUUUGACGAAGAGUCCUCUGAACCGGACUGUUGUUUGGAGGACUACCCGUGGGGCAUGCAUGAGUUUUUGACUGGCAAAUGCUGGAGUUCCUUUGCAAAUAAAUUGAAGAGAAAAAAAACAUGUGACACAGAAGUUCAUGUUGUAUGUGCAAUCCUUUGAGGUCAGGCACUACGACAUUUUGCUCAAAGCCGUACAUGAUGAUUACUCUCAACUGGCGAUGGUUGUGUUGCCUGGGACGGAGUGCCUGGCAAGUAGUAGCUACGCCUUCCGUGACCUUGUGGAUGACCUGACGAUGACAGCUAAGGAAUUGGUACAUUAUCUCACUGGACCCUUAGG
Triticum aestivum (bread wheat) is the source of this 942-nucleotide long non-coding RNA. RefSeq lists it as uncharacterized. NCBI's taxonomy places the organism in Eukaryota, Viridiplantae, Streptophyta, Magnoliopsida, Poales, Poaceae. The record is from RefSeq and is a predicted model, not a curated record. The transcript is spliced from 3 exons.